UGGGGAAUAUUGCACAAUGGGGGAAACCCUGAUGCAGCAACGCCGCGUGAGUGAUGAGGGCCUUCGGGUUGUAAAGCUCUGUCUUCAGGGACGAUAAUGACGGUACCUGAGGAGGAAGCCACGGCUAACUACGUGCCAGCAGCCGCGGUAAUACGUAGGUGGCAAGCGUUGUCCGGAUUUACUGGGCGUAAAGGGAGUGUAGGCGGAUACUUAAGUCAGAUGUGAAAUACCCGGGCUCAACUUGGGUGCUGCAUUUUAAACUGGGUAUCUAGAGUGCAGGAGAGGAAAGUGGAAUUCCUAGUGUAUCGGUGAAAUGCGUAGAGAUUAGGAAGAACACCAGUGGCGAAGGCGACUUUCUUGACUGUAACUGACGCUGAGGCUCGAAAGCGUGGGGAGCAAACAGG
RNAcentral lists this ribosomal RNA (404 nucleotides) under uncultured prokaryote. Its description in RNAcentral is "bacterial SSU rRNA". It matches the Rfam family "Bacterial small subunit ribosomal RNA", at positions 355 to 776 of the family's 1533-position model. The record is from RNAcentral. RNAcentral also lists the same sequence under 1 other name.